RNAcentral lists this ribosomal RNA (465 nucleotides) under Vreelandella stevensii. RNAcentral's name for it is "partial 16S ribosomal RNA". It matches the Rfam family "Bacterial small subunit ribosomal RNA", at positions 338 to 795 of the family's 1533-position model. The record is from RNAcentral. Lineage: Bacteria; Pseudomonadati; Pseudomonadota; Gammaproteobacteria; Oceanospirillales; Halomonadaceae.
CCUACGGGGGGCAGCAGUGGGGAAUAUUGGACAAUGGGGGCAACCCUGAUCCAGCCAUGCCGCGUGUGUGAAGAAGGCCCUCGGGUUGUAAAGCACUUUCAGUGAGGAAGAACGCCUGGUGGUUAAUACCCAUCAGGAAAGACAUCACUCACAGAAGAAGCACCGUCUAACUCCGUGCCAGCAGCCGCGGUAAUACGGAGGGUGCGAGCGUUAAUCGGAAUUACUGGGCGUAAAGCGCGCGUAGGUGGCUUGAUAAGCCGGUUGUGAAAGCCCCGGGCUCAACCUGGGAACGGCAUCCGGAACUGUCAAGCUAGAGUGCAGGAGAGGAAGGUAGAAUUCCCGGUGUAGCGGUGAAAUGCGUAGAGAUCGGGAGGAAUACCAGUGGCGAAGGCGGCCUUCUGGACUGACACUGACACUGAGGUGCGAAAGCGUGGGUAGCAAACAGGAUUAGAUACCCGAGUAGUC